UACGAGGGGGGCAAGCGUUGUUCGGAAUUAUUGGGCGUAAAGAGCUCGUAGGCGGUGUGUCGCGUCGGCCGUGAAAACCUGCAGCUUAACUGUGGGCUUGCGGUCGAUACGGGCAUCACUGGAGUUCGGCAGGGGAGACUGGAAUUCCUGGUGUAGCGGUGAAAUGCGCAGAUAUCAGGAGGAACACCGGUGGCGAAGGCGGGUCUCUGGGCCGAUACUGACGCUGAGGAGCGAAAGCGUGGGGAGCGAACAGG
RNAcentral lists this ribosomal RNA (254 nucleotides) under uncultured bacterium. RNAcentral describes it as "partial 16S ribosomal RNA". It matches the Rfam family "Bacterial small subunit ribosomal RNA", at positions 524 to 776 of the family's 1533-position model. The record is from RNAcentral.